RNAcentral lists this ribosomal RNA (508 nucleotides) under uncultured bacterium. Its description in RNAcentral is "partial 16S ribosomal RNA". It matches the Rfam family "Bacterial small subunit ribosomal RNA", at positions 28 to 523 of the family's 1533-position model. The record is from RNAcentral.
GAUGAGCGCUAGCUACAGGCUUAACACAUGCAAGUCGAGGGGAAACGACAUCGAAAGCUUGCUUUUGAUGGGCGUCGACCGGCGCACGGGUGAGUAACGCGUAUCCAACCUGCCCACCACUUGGGGAUAACCUUGCGAAAGUAAGACUAAUACCCAAUGACGUCUCUAGAAGACAUCUGAAGGAGAUUAAAGAUUUAUCGGUGAUGGAUGGGGAUGCGUCUGAUUAGCUUGUUGGCGGGGUAACGGCCCACCAAGGCGACGAUCAGUAGGGGUUCGGAGAGGAAGGCCCCCCACAUUGGAACUGAGACACGGUCCAAACUCCUACGGGAGGCAGCAGUGAGGAAUAUUGGUCAAGGGGCGAGAGCCUGAACCAGCCAAGUAGCGUGCAGGAUGACGGCCCUAUGGGUUGUAAACUGCUUUUAUAAGGGAAUAAAGUGAGUCUCGUGAGACUUUUUGCAUGUACCUUAUGAAUAAGGACCGGCUAAUUCCGUGCCAGCAGCCGCCGUAA